ACAAACUUUUUUUUUCAGUUCCCCAUGUAUUAUACUUGAAGAAGCUUCAAAUGUCAGAUAAUUCUAAUGAAGUAGCAAUAUUUUUUUUAUCGGUAGCGUUCUUCGUUUAUGUUUUAGCUGACGAAUGCUUGAUAGACGAGGCACUCCUAACAGCAAUGAAACAUAUCAAACUGCUUACGAGUUUAAUAAUAAAAAAGUCAAUCGUGCUUAUCGAAAUUCUUUUUCGAAUAGUCUUCAGGUGGAGGAGAGGCAGCGAGAGCUGAAUAAGGAGAGUCGAUUUCCGCAUCAUAAGUACCGCGGGUGUUUUGGGGGUUUUCGGAAUAUACAUUUUCAUCCAAAAAGGAUUUAAGUUGUGUAAAUGAUUGCUUAGCACCUUCCUGAACGUUACUAGAGAAAUUAUUAAUGGCAUUCAUGUAAUCCUUCCUUGUUUCGGGAUCUUGAACCUAAAAACAGAGUCAGUACAACAGAAACUUUAUUUUUUGGAUACAAUAAAAUGUUUGUACCUUUGUAAUCCCUGGCUGAAUAUAGGACUUAUUUACGUCUUGAAUCUGUUGGGAAACAGAUCUGGAGAACAUGUUCCAACCAUGACUAAGUGCAGAAACAGGAUUAGAUGAUAAUUGGUCCAAAAAAGAGCCACCGUUAUUUCUAGCAGAAGAAUUGGGAUUAACAGAGUUAGAGCUUCCAAACCCUUGAUAGCGACCUCCUUGUGAAGGGGGUAAAUCAUCAGGGCGUUGGGAAUUAAUGGAACCAAGCUUUGCAAAAUAUUUAUCAUUUGCUUCUUUUGAAACUGAUGGAAUAGUUGGAACAGUUGAAGAUGAAGUUACAGAAGCAUGAGAGGAAACGCUCUUAGGACGAUCAACUUUGACCCAUUCGACACCAUCUACUUCGGCACGAAUUUUUUGUCGUAGGUCCUCAGCAAUGUCGGUAUUGUACUUAAAAUGUGUUAGUCAAUGUGAAUAAAAUCAAAAUAAGGUAAACUGGAAAAAAUAUAGAAGGUUCAAAGAUCAUACUUUUUCACGAAUACUUCCGGCAGCAGAAAACAUCGGGUCUGUAGACAAGAAUGUUUUAGCAUUAGAAUUUCCACCAACCUGUAUAGAAGUUAGUCAGGAGCAUGCAACAAAUGUGGGCUAUAUAUGUUGUUUCAAGUCAUUGAUGAAAUUAUAGUGAGCUUGCAUUUUAUAACUUCAGGUGAUAAUCAAUUGCGCGUCAUGUACUUGUUUUUAACAUUAAACAUUAUUCUUGUCAAAAAAAGGCACUAAAUGACUUGGAAAAAAUUCGAAAUAGCGGCAAGCAAACUCGCAGAUCAAUAGCGCUACCCUCUCAGCCAAAUGAAUUAUUAUAUAUAUAUGUUUUUUUUUUGGUAAAAUAACCAACAAACUCCAAUAGCCCGUAUCAAUCCUGAUGCUUACCUCCAUCAUCUUCACUUGACGUUCACUCCAAUUGUCCAUGGUAAUACUGCGGACAAAGCUCUUUUCGACUCCCAAACCACGAUGCUGUCCACUGCAAUCCAAACAAAUGAAGAUUCCCAAAUUACAAGAUGCCCAUUGUGGAUUUGGAGCAUCACAAUCAAAACAUUUCUUGUUUUCAGGAAGACGAGUGAGUUGGUCUAAUUUAUACGACAUUUUUUAUUAGAUUAUUUAAACAACCAACUCAUUAAUUGUAGUUUGUUCUAAGUGACUUUGAAAUUUCGUUAUUUUCAUGUCUCACCAUGGUGUGAGAUUUUAUGGAAGUGCGUAAGAAAACGUUAAAGAUCUGGUGAAACGUAUUCCAAGUAUAUAAAAUCAAAACAUGAAGGAAAUAAAUAUGUCGUGCAGUUGAAUGCAUUUAUGAGUUUCAACUUUUUCUUGUUUUUGAUCCAUACUGUUUAAAAUACCAGCAUCUAGUUUCUUGGAAAGCUUACGGUAUUAUUUUGAGCAAUUUUCAUAUCUGUCUAAGAGUUCAUUGACCUUCAAAAUAAAUAGAUUAAAGAGAUUAUUCAAGUUACAAUAAGUUUGGUUUAAGAAAAUGCAAAUUAGUUUAAACAAUCCUCUCGUUUUUGAAACAAACUGAUAAUUCAGUGAUUUUUGACUACAAAUAGAAAUUCAGAAAUUACUGUGUUCCUCGCUUGUUAAAGGUAUGUAGCAGAAAAUCUCUUAUGAGUUGGCUACCUCUUAAGUUGUAUCGUCUUUAUGAACUUAACGACUUUUUUAAGGACUAUAGAGGACUAGAAGCUUGAAACUACAAAACUAGACUAGUAAAAAGGUUAUACCCUUAUAAAUUUGAGUGAAUACAUCCACUACUUCCAUU
RNAcentral lists this long non-coding RNA (2286 nucleotides) under Schizosaccharomyces pombe (fission yeast). The record is from RNAcentral. Lineage: Eukaryota; Fungi; Ascomycota; Schizosaccharomycetes; Schizosaccharomycetales; Schizosaccharomycetaceae.